UUUUUUCUUUCUUUUUUUUUUUUUUGAAAAAUAACGACCUCUCUGAGGCGCGAAUUCCGACAGCGAGAGGAACGGCCGGAUACAGGAGACGGGAAGAAACAAGCCGAUUAUGUUCGCGUUAAUUAAGUGGUUGGAAGAUGUAAAAUUCUCAAUCCUGCCAACUGAACAUAUACGAGAUUUUAAUGAGGAUGAAUAAUUAGCCGGCAUGGAGGAAACGGACCUUUAUUUGGUGGAGUGGCGACAAGAAGCCAAAAGACGGGUGGCCGGUCUAUGAAGCCUCCAUCAUCAAGCUAGCAGAAAUCCCACCUGUCCUUCUGGCUACAGAGUACUUACUUACCAAAGUUAGAAACAAAGCACAGUUAUGCUUUAUUAAUGUUCGCUAAUUACAAUGUUCCACAUUUCCUUGCUUUUUAAGUCAUUUUUAGGCUUUUUAGAGUUGUUGUUUUUUGUUUUUUUAGCUGUAAUGUUUCUGCCUAUUUAUUUCAGCCCAUGAAAUCGAAUGCAGAUCUUCCUGAUGUGAGAUUUACAUAAAUAUGUCAAAGUCUCAACCUCAUGCUGCCCUCCCCCAUCCUCCUAAACCUGUGGAUACAAAUGCAGAUUUCCUUAAUGUUCAAUGGUGCGUGUUCUUCUAAUGGCCGCCUUCCCACUGGAGGUUUUGAUCCACAGCAAUUUAAAAGGAGGACAGAGCAAAACGGACAUCGGCACAGAGUGAAGAACUGCCCUUCACAAGGACACUAUGACAGCCAUAUAUAUGGCGGUAAGGAAGAGGUUUCCCAAUGUGUCCAGAAGGGCUUUGAGGAUUGCAGUGAAAGCUGGGGGAACUGAGACUGCUGGAAAAGGAAAAGAAAUUACAUUUUAAGUAUGUUGACUUAUGUUAAUACAAUCACACAGAAAAUAUACACACACACACACACACACAUAUAUAUAUAUAUAUGUGUGUGUGUGUGUGUGUGUGUGUGUGUGUUUCUUUUAGAAUGUUUAAGUAUGUAAUGAGAAUAAAAUUAUAAAAUUAAUAUUCUUUGCUUGAUUGAUAUGCUAUAUGUAUGUUUUAAACAUCAAAUAAAGAUUUCUUUCAGCUGUUACAU
This is a long non-coding RNA of Oreochromis aureus, 1085 nucleotides long. NCBI's taxonomy places the organism in Eukaryota, Metazoa, Chordata, Actinopteri, Cichliformes, Cichlidae. The record is from Ensembl.